AACGCACAUUGCGCCCUUUGGUAUUCCGAAGGGCAUGCCUGUUCGAGCGUCAUUAUCACCCCUCAAGCCCUGUGCUUGGUGUUGGACGGCCGGUCGAGCGAUCGACCCCUCCUAAAGACAAUGACGGCGGCCUGUGGUUCCCCCGGUACACUGAGCUUUUCACCGAGCACGUAUCGGACAAGGGCACCCGGGACCGGUCCUCUCCUUUCACAAAAGGAAACUUUCUAUGGUUGACCUCGGAUCAGGUAGGAAUACGCGCUGAACUUAA
RNAcentral lists this unclassified non-coding RNA (268 nucleotides) under uncultured Cladophialophora. Its description in RNAcentral is "partial contains 5.8S ribosomal RNA, internal transcribed spacer 2, and large subunit ribosomal RNA". The stretch from base 1 to 52 matches the Rfam family "5.8S ribosomal RNA", at positions 103 to 154 of the family's 154-position model. The record is from RNAcentral. Lineage: Eukaryota; Fungi; Ascomycota; Eurotiomycetes; Chaetothyriales; Herpotrichiellaceae.